UACGUAGGUGGCAAGCGUUGUCCGGAUUUACUGGGCGUAAAGAGCGCGCAGGCGGUCGUUCAAGUCGCGUGUGAAAGCCCCCCGGCUCAACUGGGGAGGGUCACGCGAUACUGAUCGACUCGAAGGCAGGAGAGGGUAGUGGAAUUCCUGGUGUAGCGGUGAAAUGCGUAGAGAUCAGGAGGAACACCCGUGGCGAAGGCGGCCCCCUGGGUCGGCCCUGACGCUGAGGCGCGAAAGCGUGGGGAGCGAACAGG
Molecule: ribosomal RNA, 254 nt
Filed under: uncultured bacterium
Lineage: Bacteria
Description: partial 16S ribosomal RNA
Rfam family: Bacterial small subunit ribosomal RNA
Source: RNAcentral